GAUGAACGCUGGCGGCGUGCCUAAUACAUGCAAGUCGAGCGAACAGACGAGGAUCUUGCUCCGCUGACGUUAGCGGCGGACGGGUGAGUAACACGUGGAUAACCUACCUAUAAGACUGGUAUAACUUCGGGAAACCGGAGAUAAUACCGGAUAAUAUAUUGAACCGCAUGGUUCAAUAGUGAAAUACGGUGUUGCUGGCACUUAUAGAUGGAUCCGCGCCGCAUUAGCUAGUUGGUAAGGUAACGGCUUACCAAGGCAACGAUGCGUAGACGACCUGAGAGGCGGAUAGGCCACAUUGGAAGUGAGACACGGUCCAGACUACUACGGGAGGCAGCAGUAGGGAAUCUUCCGCAAUGGGCGAAAGCCUGACGGAGUAACGGCGCGUGAGUGAUGAAGGUCCUCGGAUCGUAAAACUCUGUUACUAGGGAAGAACCAAUGUGUAAGUAACCAUGCCCGUCUUGACGGUACCUAAUCAGAAAGCCCCGGCUAACUACGUG
This 497-nucleotide ribosomal RNA is filed under the name uncultured bacterium. RNAcentral describes it as "partial 16S ribosomal RNA". It matches the Rfam family "Bacterial small subunit ribosomal RNA", at positions 28 to 507 of the family's 1533-position model. The record is from RNAcentral.